Molecule: ribosomal RNA, 756 nt
Filed under: uncultured Enterobacteriaceae bacterium
Lineage: Bacteria; Pseudomonadati; Pseudomonadota; Gammaproteobacteria; Enterobacterales; Enterobacteriaceae
Description: SSU rRNA
Rfam family: Bacterial small subunit ribosomal RNA
Source: RNAcentral
CAGAGAGCUUGCUCUCGGGUGACGAGCGGCGGACGGGUGAGUAAUGUCUGGGAAACUGCCUGAUGGAGGGGGAUAACUACUGGAAACGGUAGCUAAUACCGCAUAACGUCGCAAGACCAAAGUGGGGGACCUUCGGGCCUCAUGCCAUCAGAUGUGCCCAGAUGGGAUUAGCUAGUAGGUGGGGUAACGGCUCACCUAGGCGACGAUCCCUAGCUGGUCUGAGAGGAUGACCAGCCACACCGGAACUGAGACACGGUCCAGACUCCUACGGGAGGCAGCAGUGGGGAAUAUUGCACAAUGGGCGCAAGCCUGAUGCAGCCAUGCCGCGUGUGUGAAGAAGGCCUUCGGGUUGUAAAGCACUUUCAGCGGGGAGGAAGGCGUUAAGGUUAAUAACCUUGGCGAUUGACGUUACCCGCAGAAGAAGCACCGGCUAACUCCGUGCCAGCAGCCGCGGUAAUACGGAGGGUGCAAGCGUUAAUCGGAAUUACUGGGCGUAAAGCGCACGCAGGCGGUCUGUCAAGUCGGAUGUGAAAUCCCCGGGCUCAACCUGGGAACUGCAUUCGAAACUGGCAGGCUAGAGUCUUGUAGAGGGGGGUAGAAUUCCAGGUGUAGCGGUGAAAUGCGUAGAGAUCUGGAGGAAUACCGGUGGCGAAGGCGGCCCCCUGGACAAAGACUGACGCUCAGGUGCGAAAGCGUGGGGAGCAAACAGGAUUAGAUANCCUGGUAGUCCACGCCGUAAACGAUGUCGAUUUGGAG